RNAcentral lists this long non-coding RNA (2546 nucleotides) under Salvia miltiorrhiza (redroot sage). RNAcentral describes it as "long non-coding RNA (SMIL_LNC000630)". The record is from RNAcentral. Lineage: Eukaryota; Viridiplantae; Streptophyta; Magnoliopsida; Lamiales; Lamiaceae.
CCGCCAGCACCAGACCAAUCUCGCUCCUCGCUUAGCCUGCACAUUUAGAAAUACAUGCAGGGCGUGAGUACACAAUACUCAGUGGGAAAACGCCGAAAAACGAGAAAGGUGCUCUUAGAGCUAUAAGUUUGAAGCUUGCCACAUCUCAGCAAUACACAGAAAUAAGUUAGUAUUAAAUGAAUAUGUGCAUGCGGUUUUCAUAAUCAUGACAUCAUAAGUAAACGACUGCAGUCAAAGAUCUCAACAUGUAUGUACCACAUCUACAACUCAUCAUCAUCAAAGGUACUGAGAAGUAGGCCUCCCUCUCAAGUACCGUGACCGGCCGAUUCGCUGACGGCUCACAGUCACCUCUGUGUACACUAUCCCUGCUUGUGGCAUGACUCAAUUCAUUUCGUCUCAUCUCAUCAGUAGAGGGUAACAUACAAGCUCAACAUCAAAAAUUGGCAAGUCAAACAGUUCUCAAACAUCAUUUAUCUCAAAUCAUUUGAUAAGCUCAUAACAUCAUUAUAUCAUUUUAGAAAGUUCGUAUGAUAUACGUAUACUCAAAAUAUUGCCCACCUGAAGACCUUACUCAAAAACUCCCGUCAAAGCGGAGUUACUUACUUCCCUGCUCUGCUCGUGUCUUCAGGGAUCAUCGUCAUCAUCGAAGGUUCAUGUCAUAAAAUGAAUCUCGAUUAGAACUCAACGACAAAAACUCAUGCCUUAACUCAUGCUCUAUCUUAUAUUCUAUCUCUUAAUCGACUCUACAUAACUUCUUCACUCAUUUCAAAUCCUUAAGUCCAAGGAUAGGUUUCAAGAAAAUCAUGGUUCUAAGUCUCGAUUUAUCUCUCAUAUAAGACUCGUCUAAUCUCAUUAAAACACUUAGGCAACAUAAACACAUAAGGCACAUAAGAAAAUACAAUCAAACAUCAACAAAUCAUGUUCUGUUUUCCCACUGACUCAACUUCAAAUUUAACACGUUCUGACUCCGACAUCUCCUGGACUCCAGACUCAUACCAAAAGAAAGGUAUUUGAGUCUAGUUUCAUUUAAAAAAAGUAGAGUCAGAAACUCCAAGUGGUUUGGGAGAUAUGGCGUUUUUACCACGGUCUACCAUAUUCGGCAGUUUUGAGCAAUCGGAAACAUUGAUUUUUGAAAAAUAGUAAACGUUGUCAAACGGAGCUCAAAUUUGGUGGAUAUCUAGCCCAUACAGUAAGGUUGAUACCAUAAAAAUUUGGAAAGCUAGAUCACACAGGAAGCUACUGAAAUGAAUGACUUUGUCCCCUGUUCUCUGAAAUUCCCGGUAGAAAUGUGCAGAUUUGGUUUUGCAUUUUGUAAAAAUAGUAAAUCAAGUCCAAAUGACUUGAAAUUUUACCGGUAUGCUCAAGACUCAUGUAGGGACAUGCUGUAAAAUUUUCAAAGCCAUUAGACAUCGACAACCCGUCGAUCACAGUAGGUCAGUAGCCUACGAAAAAUCACCAAAAACUCAUCUCAAACUCUUAAAUGCUCAAUUCAACAUUCCUUCAAAGAAAACCAAUCAAAGCUCAUUUUAAACACAUAUAACACUCAAAAACAUUCAAAAACAUUUAAAAUACUCAUCAUACUCAAAUUAACUCUCCUCUUUUACAUCUUAACUCAAAUCUCAAGGAAAACAUUUCUACAAACGUAUCAAGUUAAUCCUCUUCUCAAUUUCAUGCUUAAAAACACUCAAUCAUUCAAAAUGACCUCAUACUUCAUAUAACUCAUUUUAUACAUAUAAAUCCCCUAUAAUCAUACCAACCAAACUUUAAUAAAAACUCAUAUAUUCACAUAAACUCUCAACAAAAACAUGACAACUUCACAAAAUGGUCAUAAAGCAAAUUAGACCUCAUGUUAUCAAUCAUCGACUUCUCAAGAUAUGAAAACUCAAAAACUCUCAUAAACUAACUCAAGUCAAAAUUUUACUUAGCUUCCAAUAGACUUAAUCAAACAUACUAAAACACCAACAUCAUGCUCAAUUACACAUAUCUUAAGCCAAAUCAUUUAUUAAACACAUAGACAAGAAAAUCCCAAUUUUUACCAAACUAAACUCUUUGACAUUUUAUGAACUCACAUGGAUCUUUAAUCUCAUCAUAUAUCUAUUAAUCUUAACCCAUUUAACUCACAUAUAAACCAUCAAUUUACAAAUUAGAGCAUAGAUACACAUAGCCCUAAUUUUAGUAAACUAACUCAUAUCAAAAUCAUCAUUUGACAUCAUAUACUCAAUUUACUCCAUCAAUCAUCAUCAUAUACAUUUCAUAGAUCAUUUUUCUCACCCCAAUUCAAGGAAAGAAAAAGAAAAUUUUUUGAAGGGUAUAAGACCCAUAUUUUCGAAAAUUUAGAGAAAAAUGAAGGGGGUGGUUUUCUUGCUUCAAACUCUCAAGAAUACUUAUAUAUAAUCUCAAACAAGUCUAAUCUAUGAAUAUGGAGAUCACUUACCCAAGUUUACACCAAAUAUCAAAUUUUCUCUUACUAACUUCAAGAUUGAAUCUCCAUGGAUCUUCUUGAAUCUAAGGAGAUGGAAGGUGUUUAAGGUGGAUUUAGAGGGUGA